UUCGCUCAGGAAUUUUUUUCGGAGAUACCCAACAAUAAUACAUAGGGGGCUAUUUCGCCUAUCCUACCUGGGGAUACCCUUUACCUAAUAUGCAUUUUAAUAAAAUAUUAGAAGCUCUAUGGGUACCUACCUACCUACCUACUAAUCAUGUGAAUAAUACCGGUACGCUACUACUAACUAUUGAGAUACAUAUUUUCAAUCUCAACAAAAUAUUGCGUUUUGUGCGAAUUUCAUAAUUCGCGUGUAGUUUAUAGCACCUUUUUCGCACAUUUUUAAUUAUCAAAAAAACACCUUUUACGAUACGAAACUUUAUUGAAAAUAAUUCUAAAAUUAAUACAUUAGCGUGAGACGCGUUUCGGUCUGCUCGGAGACCAUUUUCAAUCACGAAUGAGAGGAUUACGUAACAUGUAGAAGAUAAAUAGGAAGAGAUGCGUCGUACAAACAGAAGAGGGGAGAUAAAAAGUAUACACGAGUCAAAAAUUGCGUCGUAAAUUUAUGAUACAGGUAGGGGGUGAUUCAGAAUAGGUAGAAGUGAAUCGAUAGCACUGUUAGGUGUAACAUCGUUGACCAAGUGGAACUGUGUGGCAAUCUCGUGACGUUUUAUUUCAAUCAGCUCCAGGGUAUUGAGGCGACGACCCUUUUCGGCAAUAUGUAGAAUUUUUAAUCCUGAGUCAGGUAAAAAAUUGUGGCCAGAAUUUAUGAGAUGAUCAGCAAAAUUACUUUUUCCCAGAUGUUUAUGUUUCCAAGCUGCUAAGUGUUCAUUUAGCCUUAUUUUGAAGCUUCUCCCUGUUUGGCCAAUAUAGGUAGCUGAGCAAUUAUUGCAGGAUAGUCUGUAAACGCCACUUUUAUCCAUUUUGGGGAUUUUAUCCUUGGCAUUACAAAAUAACGAUCCCAGGGAAUUUGUUGAAGAGUAGGCAACCUGAAUAUCGUCGUCAGCAUUAUUUUCAAUAAAGUUUCGUAUCGUAAAAGGUGUUUUUUUGAUAACGAAUUUCAUACAUUCAAAUUUUAACGAUUUAGAGCAGCUAAAAUACAGCUGUUUCGUAAGUUUUUUUUAGCAUACCUACAUGAUAUAAAUUAUGUACGAAUGAUAGACACGAAAAAAAAAAAAUUGUACUGCAUGACGCUGACGCAGGUCCUAAAACAGGAACGAAUCGUACGACGCAUUGACAAAAUAUGUAAAAAAAAACUGCCCGUGCAUAUGUACCGGUACGUCUGGUGUUUACCCAGGUUUUCCAAGAUUUUUUUAAAAAUAUCAUGAUUCAUUGUCAAGUACAUAUAAGGUGACAUGAGUUAUGAGUUUUUGCUACUAUAUAACAACUAGAUUCUGUAGUGUUUUUCACAGUUGUCUUCUCGUCUCUAUAGUUCGCUAGUUCACUGUAACUCCUGUUGCUAUCAGUUUUUCCAAGUACUGCAUAGGUAAUAUUUGACCCACGUUAAGGCUCAUCAAAUAAUUGUUCAACUGUUAUCAUGUCCAGGUUCAGUAGCGUUUUAAUAAUAUGUGUAAUCGUUUGCUCUAUGAUGGUACGCAUACAUGCUGAGUUGAGCAUGACUUCAGUAGAAUACGACGAGAACCAAGGACACUUCGUUUGUUUCAAUUUUGGUAAGAUAGAUGCCCUUUGUGCAAACAAAAUCGACGGCGCCGAGAAAGGCAAAUGUGAAUUCCAACCCGUGGACUUUACAGAUAAAAUAGUAAGAAAACAAGUGGUAGCUUGCAGAAAUCAACUUGGCACAGUUCUGGGAUGCCUUUAUCAGUAUGCUAGUUCCUGUAAGGUGGCGGAUUAUCAAGAUGGUACAUGUGUAUAAAAAACUUUCGCGAAUCACGUUGUGAUAGUUUCUUUUCAGAUAAAAUAGGUAACUUAUUUAUAGCUGUUACUAAUUUAUUAAUGAACGUGGAACUAUAUAUCAUAUAAGUGACCUAAAAUUUAGAUUUAUAUAAUUUAUUCAAUUUUUAGAGGUUUAAACCCCUCUUCACCUGUGUUUUCUGAAUGUUACUCAAGUAACAGAUUGAAUAAAUUAAUGAUAUUACUACUACUACUAUUUAUCUUUUAUGCAACCAUAUUAAUUUUAUUAUUUAAAUAAUAUACUUUAUUCGCAUAUUCCAA
This is a long non-coding RNA of Planococcus citri (citrus mealybug), 2102 nucleotides long. RefSeq lists it as uncharacterized. NCBI's taxonomy places the organism in Eukaryota, Metazoa, Arthropoda, Insecta, Hemiptera, Pseudococcidae. The transcript is spliced from 2 exons. The record is from RefSeq and is a predicted model, not a curated record.